GAGACUGAAAAUGACAGAAGCGCUGCUUCCAGAGGCCUGCGAGAGCAUGAAUGCAGAACCACAGAAGCAGAUGCUUCAGAGAAAGAUGAAGAACCCUCUACCUCAGUAAAGACAGUCAAGCGAAAGCGUCGCGUCACAGAAACUGACGGUUUACAGAAAGAAGAUGAAGAACUCUCUACCUCAGUAAAGACAGUCGAGCGCAAGCGUCGCGUCACAGAAACUGUCGCCUCAGAGAAAGAUGAACAACCCUCUUCCUCAGUAAAGACAGUCAAGCGCAAGCGUCGCGUCACAGAAACUGACGCUUCAGAGAAUGAUGAUCAACCCUCUACCUCAGGAAAGACAGUCAAGCGCUCUCCUCCAGACAAUCAACACAUUAUAGAGAUGUUCUCAGG
This is a long non-coding RNA of Carassius gibelio (silver crucian carp), 392 nucleotides long. RefSeq lists it as uncharacterized. The transcript has 5 exons. NCBI's taxonomy places the organism in Eukaryota, Metazoa, Chordata, Actinopteri, Cypriniformes, Cyprinidae. The record is from RefSeq and is a predicted model, not a curated record.